RNAcentral lists this ribosomal RNA (253 nucleotides) under uncultured bacterium. Its description in RNAcentral is "partial 16S ribosomal RNA". It matches the Rfam family "Bacterial small subunit ribosomal RNA", at positions 524 to 776 of the family's 1533-position model. The record is from RNAcentral.
GACGAAGGGGGCUAGCGUUGUUCGGAAUUACUGGGCGUAAAGCGUGCGCAGGCGGCUUCUCAAGUCAGGGGUGAAAGCCCAGAGCUCAACUCUGGAAUUGCCUUUGAGACUGAGUGGCUUGAGUACGAGAGAGGUGAGUGGAAUUCCCAGUGUAGAGGUGAAAUUCGUAGAUAUUGGGAAGAACACCGGUGGCGAAGGCGGCUCACUGGCUCGUAACUGACGCUCAUGCACGACAGCGUGGGGAUCAAACAGG